UACGGGGGGGGCAAGCGUUGUUCGGAAUUACUGGGCGUAAAGGGCUCGUAGGCGGCCAACUAAGUCGGACGUGAAAUCCCUCGGCUUAACCGGGGAACUGCGUCCGAUACUGGAUGGCUUGAGUUCGGGAGAGGGAUGCGGAAUUCCAGGUGUAGCGGUGAAAUGCGUAGAUAUCAGGAGGAACACCGAUGGCGAAGGCAGGUCUCUGGGCCACUACUGACGCUGAGAAGCGAAAGCAUGGGGAGCGAACAGG
RNAcentral lists this ribosomal RNA (253 nucleotides) under uncultured bacterium. Its description in RNAcentral is "partial 16S ribosomal RNA". It matches the Rfam family "Bacterial small subunit ribosomal RNA", at positions 524 to 776 of the family's 1533-position model. The record is from RNAcentral.